UGGGGAAUUUUGGACAAUUGGGCGAAAGCCUGAUCCAGCAAUGCCGCGUGUGUGAAGAAGGCCUUCGGGUUGUAAAGCACUUUUGUCCGGAAAGAAAUCCUUGGCUCUAAUACAGUCGGGGGAUGACGGUACCGGAAGAAUAAGCACCGGCUAACUACGUGCCAGCAGCCGCGGUAAUACGUAGGGUGCAAGCGUUAAUCGGAAUUACUGGGCGUAAAGCGUGCGCAGGCGGUUUGCUAAGACCGAUGUGAAAUCCCCGGGCUCAACCUGGGAACUGCAUUGGUGACUGGCAGGCUAGAGUAUGGCAGAGGGGGGUAGAAUUCCACGUGUAGCAGUGAAAUGCGUAGAGAUGUGGAGGAAUACCGAUGGCGAAGGCAGCCCCCUGGGCCAAUACUGACGCCCAUGCACGAAAGCGUGGGGAGCAAACAGGAUUAGAUACCCUGGUAGUCCACGCCCUAAACGAUGUCAACUAGUUGUUGGGGAUUCAUUUCCUUAGUAGCGUAGCUAACGCGUGAAGUUGACCGCCUGGGGAGUACGGUCGCAAGAUUAAAACUUAAAGGAAUUGACGGGGGUCAUAGCU
This 580-nucleotide ribosomal RNA is filed under the name uncultured bacterium. RNAcentral describes it as "partial 16S ribosomal RNA". It matches the Rfam family "Bacterial small subunit ribosomal RNA", at positions 355 to 927 of the family's 1533-position model. The record is from RNAcentral.